UUUUUGAAGAGUCCGAGCAACAUAGCAUCAGACAAAGCUCCAGGUCUAGAUGGGUAUACCAUAGGGGUUUUCCUCACUUGCUGGGACAUUGUAAAGUAGGAUAUAAUGCAAACAUUGAAGAACUCUCAGUUUCAGCAAUACUUUGAGAGGAGCUUUAAUGCAACUGAUGUUUCUCUAAUUCUUAGAAAGGCUGCGGACAUGAAAUUUAGAGACUUCAAACCUAUAAGCUUGUCACAAACUUAAUGAAGAGGUGAUGCAGUGAUUUAGAGAUCUUUGGAUGAGCAAGAGGUUUUGGAAGGUGUUGAGGCAUAUGCAUCAGACAAAGCUCCAGGUUUAGAUGGGUAUACCAUAGGGGUUUUCCUCACUUGCUGGGACAUUGUAAAGUAGGAUAUAAUGCAAACAUUGAAGAACUCUCAGUUUCAGAAAUACUUUGAGAGGAGCUUUUAAUGCAACCGAUGUUUCUCUAUUUCUCAAGUGCUGAUUGAGAGGGUAGAAAGGUGAUACACAAAUUGGUUUACAAAACAAUAAAUGUCAUUUUGGGUCGAAAGGUGAUACACAAACAUAGAAAGGUACUUGAGGGUGUGAAGUGAGUUGUUUACCAACCAAUUAUCUAGGAAUGUCUUUGGGAUCAACGAACAAGUCGCAACUGGCAUCAGCUGAGAAUAGAUGUUUUAAGGAGGAAAUUUAUAUGGCACGGUAACAGAGAAAAGAAAGGUUUUCAUUUGGUUAAGUAGAAGACUCGCACCAUCAACAAUACAGAAGGGGGUUUAA
Long non-coding RNA from Solanum tuberosum (potato), 771 nucleotides. RefSeq lists it as uncharacterized. The record is from RefSeq and is a predicted model, not a curated record. The transcript has 2 exons. Lineage: Eukaryota; Viridiplantae; Streptophyta; Magnoliopsida; Solanales; Solanaceae.